AAUAGGGCGUCAAGUCUGUCGGAUUAGACCCGAAACCGAGUGAUCUAGCCAUGUGCAGGAUGAAGGUGGGGUAACACCCACUGGAGGUCCGAACCAGUGCCCGUUGAAAAGGUCUUGGAUGACGUGUGGCUAGGGGUGAAAGGCCAAUCAAACCCGGAAAUAGCUGGUUCUCCGCGAAAUCUAUUUAGGUAGAGCGUCUCGUGAAUACCCAUGGGGGUAGAGCACUGGAUGGGCUAGGGGGUCCCAACGACUUACCAAACCUAACCAAACUCCGAAUACCAUGGAGUAAUGCGAGGCAGACACACUGCGGGUGCUAAGGUCCGUAGUGAAGAGGGAAACAGCCCUGACCGCCAGCUAAGGUCCCUAAGUUAUCACUAAGUGGGAAACGAUGUGGGAGUGCUUAGACAACCAGGAGGUUGGCUUAGAAGCAGCCAUCCUUUAAAGAAAGCGUAAUAGCUCACUAGUCGAGUCGGCCUGCGCGGAAGAUGUAACGGGGCUAAAACUAUAUGCCGAAGCUGCGGAUUUGCAAUUUAUUGCAAGUGGUAGGGGAGCGUUCUGUAAGCCGAUGAAGGUGUAUUGAGAAGUAUGCUGGAGGUAUCAGAAGUGCGAAUGCUGACAUGAGUAACGACAAAGGGGGUGAAAAACCCCCUCGCCGGAAGACCAAGGUUUCCUGCCCCAUGCUAAUCAGGGCAGGGUUAGUCGGCCCCUAAGGUGAGGCUGAAAAGCGUAAUCGAUGGGAAACGGGUUAAUAUUCCCGUACCUUGGAUAGCUGCGAUGGAGAGACGGAGAAGGCUAGGUGAGCCGGGCGACGGUUGUCCCGGUUUAAGCGAGUAGGGAGUGGACUUAGGCAAAUCCGGGUCCACAAUCUCGAGACGC
RNAcentral lists this ribosomal RNA (876 nucleotides) under Chaetoceros affinis. RNAcentral describes it as "partial Bacterial large subunit ribosomal RNA". It matches the Rfam family "Bacterial large subunit ribosomal RNA", at positions 686 to 1564 of the family's 2925-position model. The record is from RNAcentral. Lineage: Eukaryota; Bacillariophyta; Thalassiosirophyceae; Chaetocerotales; Chaetocerotaceae.